AGAACGAACGCUGGCGGCACGCCUAACACAUGCAAGUCGAGCGCCCAGCAAUGGGAGCGGCGGACGGGUGAGUAACACGUGGGAAUAUGCCUUUCGGUACGGAACAACUCAGGGAAACUUGAGCUAAUGCCGUAUACGCCCUUACGGGGAAAGAUUUAUCGCCGAAAGAUUAGCCCGCGUCUGAUUAGCUAGUUGGUGAGGUAAUGGCUCACCAAGGCUUCGAUCAGUAGCUGGUUUGAGAGAACGACCAGCCACACUGGGACUGAGACACGGCCCAGACUCCUACGGGAGGCAGCAGUGGGGAAUCUUGGACAAUGGGGGAAACCCUGAUCCAGCGAUGCCGCGUGAGUGAUGAAGGCCUUCGGGUUGUAAACUCUUUCGACGGGGACGAUAAUGACGGUACCCGUAGAAGAAGCUCCGGCUAACUCGUGCCAGCAGCCGC
Molecule: ribosomal RNA, 442 nt
Filed under: uncultured bacterium
Lineage: Bacteria
Description: SSU rRNA
Rfam family: Bacterial small subunit ribosomal RNA
Source: RNAcentral